RNAcentral lists this ribosomal RNA (518 nucleotides) under uncultured beta proteobacterium. Its description in RNAcentral is "bacterial SSU rRNA". It matches the Rfam family "Bacterial small subunit ribosomal RNA", at positions 360 to 872 of the family's 1533-position model. Lineage: Bacteria; Pseudomonadati; Pseudomonadota; Betaproteobacteria. The record is from RNAcentral.
AAUUUUGGACAAUGGGCGCAAGCNUGAUCCAGCAAUGCCGCGUGCAGGAAGAAGGCCUUCGGGUUGUAAACUGCUUUUGUACGGAAAGAAAAGGUUUGUUUUAAUACCUGGGGAUAAUGACGGUACCGUAAGAAUAAGCACCGGCAAACUACGUCCCAGCAGCCGCGGUAAUACGUAGGGUGCAAGCGUUAAUCGGAAUUACUGGGCGUAAAGCGUGCGCAGGCGGUUAUGUAAGACAGUGGUGAAAUCCCCGGGCUCAACCUGGGAAUUGCUUUUGUGACUGCAUCGCUGGAGUGCGGCAGAGGGGGAUGGAAUUCCGCGUGUAGCAGUGAAAUGCGUAGAUAUGCGGAGGAACACCGAUGGCGAAGGCAAUCCCCUGGGCCUGCACUGACGCUCAUGCAAGAAAGCGUGGGGAGCAAACAGGAUUAGAUACCCUGGUAGUCCACGCCCUAAACGAUGUCAACUGGUUGUUGGGUCUCUUCUGACUCAGUAACGAAGCUAACGCGUGAAGUGACCGC